GACGAACGCUGGCGGCGUGCUUAACACAUGCAAGUCGAACGAAGUGGCGAACGGGUGAGUAACGCGUAAUCAACCUGCCCUUCAGGGGGGGACAACAGUUGGAAACGACUGCUAAUACCGCAUACUGAGGGAGGGGAUGAGGUCGGCUUAGCUGGGUGGAGGGGGAACGGCCCACGAAGGCGAUGAUCAGUAGCCGGUCUGAGAGGAUGAACGGCCACAUUGGGACUGAGACACGGCCCAGACUCCUACGGGAGGCAGCAGUGGGGAAUCUUCCGCAAUGGACGAAAGUCUGACGGAGCAACGCCGCGUGAGUGAUGACGGCCUUCGGGUUGUAAAGCUCUGUUAAUCGGGACGCGGUACCGGAAUAGAAAGCCACGGCUAACUACGUGCCAGCCGCCGCGGUAAUUC
This 408-nucleotide ribosomal RNA is filed under the name uncultured bacterium. RNAcentral describes it as "partial 16S ribosomal RNA". It matches the Rfam family "Bacterial small subunit ribosomal RNA", at positions 28 to 526 of the family's 1533-position model. The record is from RNAcentral.